Molecule: ribosomal RNA, 430 nt
Filed under: bacterium
Lineage: Bacteria
Also listed under: 1 other name
Description: bacterial SSU rRNA
Rfam family: Bacterial small subunit ribosomal RNA
Source: RNAcentral
GUGGGGAAUAUUGGACAAUGGGCGAAAGCCUGAUCCAGCCAUGCCGCGUGUGUGAAGAAGGCCCUCGGGUCGUAAAGCACUUUAAGUUGGGAGGAAGGGCUUACAGCGAAUACCUGUGAGUUUUGACGUUACCGACAGAAUAAGCACCGGCUAACUUCGUGCCAGCAGCCGCGGUAAUACGAAGGGUGCAAGCGUUAAUCGGAAUUACUGGGCGUAAAGCGCGCGUAGGUGGCUUGAUAAGUUGGAUGUGAAAUCCCCGGGCUCAACCUGGGAACUGCAUCCAAAACUGUCUGGCUAGAGUGCGGUAGAGGGUAGUGGAAUUUCCAGUGUAGCGGUGAAAUGCGUAGAUAUUGGAAGGAACACCAGUGGCGAAGGCGACUACCUGGACUGACACUGACACUGAGGUGCGAAAGCGUGGGGAGCAAACAGG